UCGAACGCAGUAGCAAUACUGAAGUGGCAGACGGGUGAGUAACAUGUGGGAAUCUGCCUUGUGGUUCAGGACAACAUUGGGAAACCGAUGCUAAUACUGGAUAAGCCCUUACGGGGAAAGUUUUAAUGCCAUAAGAUGAGCCCGCAUUUGAUUAGUUAGUUGGUGAGGUAAUGGCUCACCAAGACAAUGAUCAAUAGCUGAUCUGAGAGGAUGAUCAGCCACACUGGGACUGAGACACGGCCCAGACUCCUACGGGAGGCAGCAGUGGGGAAUCUUGCACAAUGGAGGAAACUCUGAUGCAGCGAUGCCGCGUGAGUGAAGAAGGCCUUUGGGUUGUAAAGCUCUUUUGUAGGGGAAGAUAAUGACUGUACCCUAAGAAUAAGGUCCGGCUAACUUCGUGCCAGCAGCCGCGGUAAUACGAAGGGACCUAGCGUAGUUCGGAAUUACUGGGCGUAAAGCGCGCGUAGGCCGUUAAGUUAGUUAAUUGUGAAAUCCCAAAGCUUAACUUUGGAACUGCAAUUAAAACUGCUCGACUAGAGUUUGAUAGAGGAAAGCGGAAUACAUAGUGUAGAGGUGAAAUUCGUAGAUAUUAUGUAGAACACCAGUUGCGAAGGCGGCUUUCUGGAUCAACACUGACGCUGAGGCGCGAAAGUAUGGGUAGCAAAGAGGAUUAGAUACCCUCGUAGUCCAUACCAUAAACGAUGAUUGCUAGAUGUUGGAAAUUUAUU
Molecule: ribosomal RNA, 728 nt
Filed under: uncultured bacterium
Lineage: Bacteria
Description: bacterial SSU rRNA
Rfam family: Bacterial small subunit ribosomal RNA
Source: RNAcentral